AGUCAGUCUGCUUCUCUAGACGCUUGCUGAUCUCACCACCGGGAGCACGUCAAGCGUGUACUCAACAAACAAUGUCUGAAUCGAACCAGCCAGAUGUUUCGUUUUAUUCAUACGAGCUGGGACACAAAGCAUUUUUGCUAUUUCUGCCUGUAACAGAUGUUCGUAUUUGGAUCAAAAGGAGGAAGCGGGUGCCGGUUUCAACAGUCAGAUUCCUGUAAAUGUUCGGAACAAGCCACUGGAGACCUUGUUGGAGAUGAUUAAAGGCACUUGAAGGGGCCGGUUGUAAUGUUAUUAAUGUAUUUUUAUUUUUUAACUUGGUUUUCCAAGUAACUGUCAAUUGAUUCCAGGUGUUUUGGAGUGAAUAGUACGAUUGUACCCAGAAUAUUUACAUGCAUGGCAAGCCGAAAUUACGUGUAAGAUGUUAAUUAUAGAUAUCUAUAUUUUAAAUGGUAAUUCUUGAUUUUAGCAAUGGAAUUACUACUAGAAAUGUGUAUUGUGUUUAUAUCAGUAAUGAAGCUUGUAAAAAUGUAAUGUCAACUAGUAAAAAAACUAAAUUAUUGAUAUCUGUAACUGCA
This is a long non-coding RNA of Xyrauchen texanus (razorback sucker), 575 nucleotides long. RefSeq lists it as uncharacterized. The record is from RefSeq and is a predicted model, not a curated record. Lineage: Eukaryota; Metazoa; Chordata; Actinopteri; Cypriniformes; Catostomidae. The transcript has 3 exons.